Molecule: ribosomal RNA, 469 nt
Filed under: uncultured bacterium
Lineage: Bacteria
Description: bacterial SSU rRNA
Rfam family: Bacterial small subunit ribosomal RNA
Source: RNAcentral
UAUCCCCCUGUGUGCCUUCCUCCCACGACUGCUAAACGCGAAGAACCUUACCAAGGCUUGACAUACACCAGAACACCCUAGAAAUAGGGGACUCUUUGGACACUGGUGAACAGGUGGUGCAUGGUUGUCGUCAGCUCGUGUCGUGAGAUGUUGGGUUAAGUCCCGCAACGAGCGCAACCCUCGUCUUAUGUUGCCAGCACGUUAUGGUGGGGACUCAUAAGAGACUGCCGGGGUCAACUCGGAGGAAGGUGGGGAUGACGUCAAGUCAUCGUGCCCCUUAUGCCUAGGGCUUCACGCAUGCUACAAUGGCCGGUACAAAGGGCUGCGAAAUCGCAAGAUGGAGCGAAUCCCAAAAAGCCGGUCUCAGUUCGGAUUGGGGUCUGCAACUCGACCCCAUGAAGUCGGAGUCGCUAGUAAUCGCAGAUCAGCAACGCUGCGGUGAAUACGUUCCCGGGUCUUGUACACACCG